Long non-coding RNA from Passer domesticus (house sparrow), 3341 nucleotides. RefSeq lists it as uncharacterized. The transcript is spliced from 2 exons. NCBI's taxonomy places the organism in Eukaryota, Metazoa, Chordata, Aves, Passeriformes, Passeridae. The record is from RefSeq and is a predicted model, not a curated record.
AAAGCAGCCGCCCUGGUGUCACGUGGAAAGGGGAGGGUUUUUUUGCCUGAAACCAUUUAAUGAUUGAUUAGUCUGUCAGCGCCGUUGAACGUUCAAGUUAACGUGUUAUGGAUUAACAGUCUUUAUUAAUUUAGAAUGUUAGAGGGUUGGAAUGGAGCUUAAAGAUAAUCUAGUCCCAAUCUUUUGCCGUGGGCAGGGACGCCUCCCACUAGACUAGGCCGGUCAAGGCCUUAUCCAGAACUUCCCUGGGCAACCCCUUACCACUGCCUCACCUGCCGCACAGUAAAUACCUCAUUUAAAUCUCGCCCUUGUCUUAUCACUACAGCUCCUGACGAAGAGUCUCCAGCUUCCCUGUAGGGCCCCUGCAGAUACACGAAGGUUGCCAUGAGGUCUCUAGUUAACUUUCUCUUCCUCAAGCUCAACAGCCCCAGCCUUCUGAGCCUGUCUUCAUAAGGGAGGUGGCUGCAGUCCUUUUAUCAGCUUAGUGCAGAGGAGGCCACACACUUGAACAAUUCCAUAUCCUUAAACUGGAGGCCCCAGUGCCCCAGAGCUGGGUGCAGUGUUCCGACUGGUGUCUCACAAGAUGCAAGCAGGAGGGACAGCAUCCCUGCCCUGCUGCUUUGGAAGCAGUCUAGAAUUCUGACAUGUUAAGGUUCAAGGAUUGCUGGUGAUAGCAGCUGACCGCAAAAAACCAUAUUCAGAGCAAUAUAUUCAUUCAAAGCAAUGUACUAAAAAACUGUAAUCCCUAACAGAAGUCAGCUCUAGACAGUGAUUUACCAUUCACUGUUCUUACCCCAUAGUGUCCCCACAGGGGCAAUAACAAUUUGAGCCUGUCAACUGAUUCCAGAAGUUACAAUGGAGUCUUUCCCAACUUCUCACCCUUCUGAAUUCACUUUUGUACUAUUUUCUUAUCUUUAGAUGGAGCUUGAGUGGCUGUAGUCAUCUAGCUUACCCUGUGCUGAGUGGUUGUACAUUGGGGGUGGAGAUCUCAAAAUGCAUAAUGGGUCAGCCUAGAGGAGAGUGAUUCCUCCGCAGUUGCUGAUUCAUCAACAGCACAUCUUCCUUUAUCUCCCAUGGUUUUCAGCUGCUGUGCAGCCAGAAAGGACCAUUAAGUUCAAGCCUCUGCAAGAGCCUGGCUAGACUGUACUCUACUCCACCCACCUUUAGCAUGUAUAGUGAGUGGGAAGGCAGGUAUGCUGGCCACAUUCCACCCAGGGAGUAGCAAUGCUGUUUUCCUCUAUAAUUUCCAUACCGUUAUCUUUUUACCCCCAAACAUUUUCCUACAGCAGAGAACAAUGGCCGCCCAUGAAUGCAUAGUUUCCCACCUACAAAAUACAGGCACAGAAUGUGAAUAUUUAUUGACUGUCACACAUUUUAAAAUAACAACGCACAUGGCUAUUCAACAGGAACCGCUGGCUCAGAAGGCAAAACCCACGUGUACAGCAAUUCAGUUUGGACACAUCCCUGAGCAGAGGACCUGGAACCAGUGACUGCUAUGAUCCAUCACAGACAAUGCACUGUCUGCCUUUCCUCUGGGUUCAUGCCAGUCUGGGGCCAAGUGAGAGGAUGGCCAUGCAGUGGUGGAUGCAGAGGCAUCGUGGGAGGAGAGAGUGAAAGCUGCUGGAUGAACUGAGCUGCCUGCCACUCCCCAACUCCGGAUGGCUGCAGCGACGUGACUUUGAAGAAACCCCAAUUGCCUUGGUACAGGGAGCCUCAUGCCAUUACUUUAAGUUGAAUGAUGGCUAUGCCAGAAGGAAAUCAGGCACAACUUUCCUCAGGACGCUUCCAAUCAUCAGUCCUUAGUCCCCUGCCUGCUGAAUCAAUCUCCACAUGGAAGACUGAACAUGGGUUAGAAAAACAGCCUUCUCUCAGAAACGAUAAAUGCAAAAAUCAGUUUUAAAAUCUAACUAUUUCAAAUGAGUAACAAGAAAUAAGUUAUCAGUAUGGAAGGAAAAGCCAACAACUUCCCAUGCUAGAAAACUCCCAUUCUAAGCAGAUCUUUCAAGCCCUGGAAGCUUUAAGUAAAAUUUUAACAGAUGAAGAAAGUUUUAAAUAUAGCUAGGAAACAAACCUCACCAGAACAAUUACAUUAGGGAAAACGGAUGUGUGUGAUCUAGUAGUUAAACACUAAUUGACACUGACUUACCUGUUUAAGACAGUUAGCUGUGUUGCAAACCUGAAAAACCUUUGUAUUUCUUGAUUUCUCAGCACUGAUAAGCUACUAUUCACAACAUAAAACAUUCUGGCUUUGGAAACUCAGACAUUAAAAGCAUUUUAAAUUACUGAGAAAUAUGAUGACAGCACUUUGUUCCAAUAAAAAAGGCAGCAUAAAUAAACAACUGAGUGUCCCUCCAUAUCAUUAAGAAGGACAGAGUAUGCGCCUCAUUCAGAAGAGGUAUAUAUACUUCAAUCCCACCAGCAAAAUUGGAAGUCGCUCUGAACAGAAAGCUAAAUAAAGUACAAAGGUAAUACACUUGCAAAUGUGUUUAGGAAAGAACACAAGUAUUUAUUUGUGAAAGGAACACAUCUGGAAGUUUAUAGAUAGCUGGCUUCAGAUGGGUGAAAACCAAAACAAGACUUAGGAUGCUAGUUCCCCAAGACCCCUUUGGCAAUUCUAGCUUUCAACUUCCAUAAAAAUAGAGAAAAAAAAUUAACAUGAUGGUUCUAAAUCCAGAUAAUUAUAGUAGAUUAGCAUUACUUCUACAUUCAUGUCAGAAAUAUUGAAAACUACAACCUCAGGAAAAAAGAGAAACUUAAGUCUGAUUUUCGCUUUUUUUUAAAAUUUAUUUCAGAUUCAUAAAUUAACAGUGGUUUCAAUUUUAACACAUAACUAAUUAUCUUCUUAACAAGAUAAGAUGGUACAUUACCACCUCUGGAAGGACUUCAAGUAAAACUCAAGUUCGUACUACUAAUGAAUGUAAAUUUUUGACUGGUACAAGGAUCCUCUUCAUAUUUUAUGAAAACAAACAUGUAUUUUUCCCCAGUUGCCAAAUAUAAUACCUCUAUUUCUUAAAGCAUUUUUGUCUGUAUCCCCAAGGCCUUGAAAAAGAUUCUUAGCAGCAACAAAACAGGACUGACCUGUUACCUACUCUUUCUUUCUUGAACACGAGCACGGCAGCAAAUAAACUCCCAUAAAAUCACAGAACAGAAAACAACCCCACAAAAUCUCAGUGGCACUGCUUAUCCAGAGAUUGUUUAACAUAUGAUGACUAGUGUCUAGUUUUUAGUUCUCUGGAGAAAUAGAAAAGAAUAUAGCAGUCUACAAACAUCUCAAACACUUACACAAGGAUUCAGUAAACAAUCAACAUUAAUAAAUAUCAUUUGCUCCUUCAAAAGAUUCA